GCGUCCGCUCAGAUCGCUCCUCGCAAUCCAUCAUCGUGAAUCGCGUCCGCUUCCUCCCGCUCUCUCCAUCCGCGAAUCGUGUCCGUGGAGUCUUCGCAAUCCAUCACCGCGAAUCGCGUCCGCCCGCUUCCUCCAUCUCUCUCUAGCCGUGAGAAACCGCGUCCGCUUCCUCCUGCUCUCUCCAUCUGCGAAUCGCGUCCUGCAAUCCCAGCCGCGAGAAACUGUGUCCGCUUCCUCCGCUCAUUCCCUGCUCUCUCCAUCCACGAAUCGUGUCCGCUUCCUCGAAUCACGUAUGCUUCCCUACUCCCCAAGGUUUUCUUCGCCCUCCGUCGGGAUCCACAGAUUCCCCAUCCACCCUCCGCUCGGAUCGACAGACGCAAUCCCUGCUCUCUCCUCGCCCUCCGCCCGGAUCACCAGGUCAUACUUAUGGCGUCGCCACCACAACCAAAGCAGCUGGUGCUCGCUAUGUCAUCCACGGAUUCGGACCUGGCUGCCUUGGACCUCCACACCGGCGUGGAGGACUCAUCCAUGGAUCUAGGCCCAGCUGCCUGGGACCUCCGCACCCGGUGUGGAGGACAUUUGCCUCCGCCCCUUCGCUUCCCACCCUCGGUCGCUCGCCUCAGUUGUCGACCGCUUCCUCGCCUUCGCUCAGGCUUUUCCCGCUGGCCACAACUCUAGGACCAUCCACAUCUACUACUGGGACAAGGUAAGCACGGUCUGCAUAAAACCCCGAACGACGCUCUUGAACUCUGAACCAUGACCCCAAGUCGUUUCCUGAUUUCAAUUCCAGCCGCAAGUGGUCGUUUAGAGCUUGUGCAUUACUGAAAGGAAAAAUCCCUAUACCAAGCCAAUCUACUUGGUUCUUUAGUUCGAUUUUAUUUUAUUAUUGGUUAUUAAUGUUUCAAUUGCUGAAGUUAUACUUUGCAUCUGGUUACUGCAUAACUUACUAUUAUGUAUUGCACUGAUUCUUAAUUUUCAAGUUUGCUGACAUUGGAACCCAGUAACUAUGCAAUCUGAAGGGUGAGAUAAAGAAUUAUAGCUAUUUAUCUUUAUUUUUCUUCUCAUAUAUUCAUGUGUGAUACUUAGACCUUCUUUGCUUUGGUUCAGUGGUAUAAUCUGCAUCUUAGACUGGGCGGAUAUUAUUAACGCUCACAUAGUUCCUGGACCUAGGAUUGUAGAUGGCUUGAAGUUGAAGGUACUUUAUGACAUAUAUGCGUAAGCCUUUUGCAAUUACUGAGUUAAAGAGAAUAGUCAAUGCUACAACUGCUAAUAUCUAAUAUAUUGCAUUUCUCAUAGUAACUAUUGUGUUCUGGCAUUGAAGGGUUUACCUAAAGGAAAGGACUACUUUUGCUUGCUGAAAUGAGCUCAGCUGGCAACCUUUCUUAGACUACACUGCUGCGGUUGUAAAGAUUAUCGAGCAACAUCCUGCUUUGUAAUAGGAUCUAUAUCAGUAAAUCCUGCAUCUUGGUCUCUAGCACCGUCGAGCCCUGCAUUCAUCCAUGCCACUCUUGGAGUUUAGAUGGCUGCUGGAGGAUAUGCCCUUGGGAAACAAUAUAAUACUCCCAUUUUUGUGAGUGUGUUUUUGCCAUUCGGUUCUUGUUGGAUGGCUCACUUGCUUCUUGUUGACUGGGGAUUAGGUGUGUUGGGUUGUGGCCACUAGCCGGCGUCAGCUAGGAACAACAACCUGUAGUAGGUGUCAAUUGAGGCGACAUUGUGUCAGGAAGCAGAAGACAUGCACGCAAUUGGUGAAUGACAACUUUGCAUCUGUGAUUUGGCCCAAGAAAAUUUGUUCUUAACACUUGGUGGGAAUAAAAAGUAACAGAGAGAUAGUGAUGGAUGGGCAGGAGAGGCGAGGGUCGCCUCACCGUAGAUGGAACCCACGAGGCGCGCAAGGAGUGGCGCCGGCGCGCCUUCUCUGGCUCCUUGCUCCGCUCCAAUGGCAUCAAUGUCCAUGUGCCACAUCAUGGAGCGGAUGCAGCACAAUUGGCUAGUACCAAGAAGCAGAAGAAGAAAACACCUGGGAGCAGUAAUGCCAACCAUGGUCAUCCAAGACAUAAGCGUCGGCACGCAGACAAGUAAAACAUUGAUCAACCAUGGUCAUUAUUUUUUUAUAACUGAUACAACCAUUAUUUUCCCUAUACUAUAGAUCCAUUUCCCCUUUAGGUUUGGGAAUAAUACAAAAUAUUGUUGUGUAAGAUAGUGUUUGGCUUUCCAUGGCAUUUUGAGUUUUCGACUUGAGUAUUUGAUUUUGCAUCGUGCAGAUCAUGGAAGUUUGACCAUGUUACCUUUCACUGAGUUUGUUGUCUGGUAUAGGCUCCAUCACCUAUCAUCGCCGAACCUUAUUGUGUAUCUACAGUUCUACACACUAGAAUAUUGUGUUUCUGCCCCCAAUUUUUUUGAUUGAUCUUUUAGUGAUAUAUAUCUCUACUACUCUAUAUGUUCUUAGAGUGGGCGUCCACCAUCUCUCGUGAAGCCUGCCCCCGCCGGCUCUCCUCGCGUCCAAGGAAGAUUGAUCUUGUAGAUUGGCUAGAUAGAGAUUUUAGAUGAUCUGAAUCUAACUGUUUUCACUACAUUAAGUUCUGAAUCUAACCGUUUUCACUAUAUUAUUGUUGUUUGCCUU
Zea mays is the source of this 2620-nucleotide long non-coding RNA. RefSeq lists it as uncharacterized. The record is from RefSeq and is a predicted model, not a curated record. The transcript has 4 exons. Lineage: Eukaryota; Viridiplantae; Streptophyta; Magnoliopsida; Poales; Poaceae.